Molecule: long non-coding RNA, 3949 nt
Organism: Diabrotica virgifera virgifera (western corn rootworm)
Lineage: Eukaryota; Metazoa; Arthropoda; Insecta; Coleoptera; Chrysomelidae
Exons: 2
Source: RefSeq, a predicted model, not a curated record
UUUUUUUUGUCAUCUGAUAAUGCAGGUACCUACAUACAUUGCUUGAUUUCAUCUUUGGCUUUGUUGUUGAUGACUUUUAAUUUAUUACUUAUUAAUUUAAUUAUUAUGUAGUACUUUAUGUAUGAGUUUAACUUUUUUUUUGGUAUUAGGCAUGGUGCAUUGUAAUUAUUAUUAUGAGUCAAUGUUAUUAAUUGCUAAUCCUGUCAGUAGGAUUAUACAAUUAAUCAGAACUUCACUUGUAUUUUUGUUUAGUUUUUGCACACCUAACCCCUUAAGUUAGAAGGGUUGUUGAAUUAUUAUAUAUUUAUAUACUUAUUUGGACAGGUAAGCUCAUACAAGUAGGUACUCUUGUUUAAUAUGGAUAUUAUUAUGGAACUGUAUGUUAUGCACUACUUAUCUCAGGUUAUGUGUUAUAUUAUUUGGAAUAUUUGAUUACUUACUAAUUUUUUUUUGAUCAUAUUUAUAUCUUAUUAUUGAAUUUGCCAUAUUGGAAAGAUGUGGUUUUUAAUUUGUUAUUGGGUUACUCUAUUAACAUUAUUUGUCUCCAAUAUCUUAAACACUUUAUAAUAAUUUAUAUCCUUCUAUCCUACACAGUAUGAUUCUGGAAUUAGUUUGGAAUUUUGAUGUAAGUAUGUAUGAAUUCUUGAGUCUUUCAUAUUUCUUCUUAGAAACUACUUAGUCUGUUGAUGCUCAAAGUUGGUGAAUACGUGGGUUCGAAAUUCAGCAACUGAUCACUGCUGUCCGGUUUCGUAAUCUAUGUCCUCAUGGCAGAGUAGGCAGAUGUCUUUUCAUCAUUACAUUUCCUAAACAUUUUUCUGUAAUCAGUUUACUUAUUUCAGUUUUUUACAAUUUAAUAGGGAAGUAUUUAGUUCAUAUUAGGCCUUUUGCUUCAUAGUAUGUUUGUACUUUGAGUUGAUGAGUAAACAUGGAUAAAUAUCUUGCGCACUUGUUUAUAAAUCAAUGCUUAGGCCAUCCCUAUACAUAGUAGGUUCGUUAAGUCAGUAUUUGGAGUGUUUAGACAGAUGAGUUGUUCAUUUGAAUAUAUUCCCACUUCUUUUCGUAGGCAUUAGUUUUGUUAUUCAGAUUCUGGAAUAUUUCCUGAAUAAUUCUAUGUACGUAUGUGAGAACGCAUGAAUUUGCAGUUUUAUUUAAAAUUGUGCUCGUUCUCGUCAAUUUUUUUCCCUAUCACUUAUCAUAUUUUUUUUUUUUUCUUCCUAUUAUUUAUCAUAGUGCCAUAGACCUUGUAAGUUCACUAUUCAUUCUGUUUUCUUUCUUACUUAUUCUUAUAUUAGUACCUUAUCUGUGUCUGGUUAUUCUCAUACAUCUGUUGUAGCAACAUGCUAUAGUUCGCGAAUACCAGCAUGAAUUAAGUUAUGUAUUUUCUAGAAUACUUUAGUCAAUACACUUUAGGUAUUUAUCUUACCUUUGAUUUAGUUUGGUUACAUCUCUGUUACUUAGUCUGUUAGUAAUUUUUUUCUGACUUAUUUUGGAUUACUUAGUUCAGAUAGGUUCAUAUUACCGGAUGAGGGUGUAUGUAGACCUAAUUUAUUUAUUUUGUUCAGUAUUAGUUACCAUUGGAUCCAAUAAUUUAGUUUAUUUAGUAUUAGUAAGAAUUGGUCCAUAAAUUUGCCUGAUCGUUCUUCUUUGGAUAUACUCCUAUAUAAAUCUGGUGUCCAUUGAUAGUCCGAUUCUGGAUAAGUGUCCGAUUCUUCAUUUAUUUUGUGUAUUUAGUUGGAUAGGUUCGUAUUACCGGAUGUGGGUGUACGUAGACCUGAUCUGUUAUGUGGUUUAGUAUUGGUGUGAAUUGGUCCAUAAAUUUGCCUGGUCGUUCUUCUUUGGAUAUGCCUUUUAUGAAUCUGGUGUCCACUGAUAGUUCGACUUUGGAUUAAGUGUCCGAUUCCACAUUUAUUUUGGUUAUUGAGUUUUGGAUUCCUUUGGUAUGUUUAUUAUUGGUAUUAUUUGACAUUAGUGAGAAUUUUUCCAUAAAUCUUCCUGAUUGUUCUUCUCUGGAUAUACUAUUAUGAAUCUGGUGUCCAUUGUUAGUUCAGUUUUGGAUAAAGUGUUCAAUUCUUUACCUAUUUUAGUUACUGAUUUUUUUUAUUCACUUUGGUACAUUUACUUUUGAUAUGGUUCGAAUUGGCUCACACCUUUUCCUGGUUGUUCCGUUCUUGGAUAUACCCUUUAUAAAUCUGAUGUCCAUGGAUAGUUCAAUUUUGGUUUUAGUGCCCAACUCGACACUCAGUUAUUAUGAACUUAAGUACAAUAUUUAGUUUUGUUUUGACUUUUGAGCAAUAUAUGUUAAUAUUUGGUAGCAGAGAGUAACAUAGUAACAUUUUAGUAUGAGUUUGAGUCAUGUAUUGAUUUAUUUUUCCUUGACCAUUAGUUUAUAUUUAGAAGUAAUCUUGCGAAUCAACGUGGAUUGUUAGACUAUUGUAAAUUUAGUUGUUAAUAUUUUGAAGUUUAAAAAAAAAAAAAUUUUUUUUGGUUAAAAAAUUUUUUUUUUCCCGAGUAGGAGGGGAUUGUAACGGUCCACCCGUUAUAUUAUCAUUUUUAGCGCUGUAAUUAUUUUUAAAAAAAAUAAUUAUUUUCUCUUGACCUCCCAUUUAAAUUCUUUAAUUUAUCGUAAAGGACUUCUCAUGUGACGUCACACUGUACGGAACAUAGUUGUUGAACCGUUCCUUGUCGUUUAAUUCGUGUUCCGUGAGAGUUUGACGUUUUCCUCGCUGACUGUGGGAGGAAUGAGAGGCACUUGGCCGGUGGCUGCGAGGUUGACAGGUUGGUGUUGGUGGUUGAUACCGUAAAUGGCGGUUAAUUUCUUCGAAAUUAAUUUUUAUUUCAACUAAGUUUGGAAGUAUAGUAAAAAGUUACCACCACUUGUUUCCUGGAGUACGGGUUUCCUGGAGUAAGGAUGGGAGUACCAUCAGUGGAAGAGGAAUAAAAAAUUAACCGCCAUUUGGAAGAAAACUAACCCUCAUGUGAUGUCGUACCCACCUUGACUACCUAGGGAAGCCACCUUGACCUUAUUGCAGCUACCGCCAAGUCAAACUGGGAGUAUGUUUUGGGAACAAGCUUUUUGGGGGACAUUCCAGCUCCUUUUCGUCCUGCCACCUGGGCCUACGGGGGGGCAUGGAGGUGCAUCAUAGUGAUGCUCAUUUUCUAGGAUGCAACCGCAACCUCGUUUGGGAACAUUUAGUGAGGAGUUUUAGUAACUAUUGGUUUUUUUUAUAUUUCAGACUAUCUGUUAAAUACACUAUGUUUUUUUUCCAGAUUUAGGUUACCUCUGUUUUUUUUUUGACAUAUGUAUUUGUAUAUUAGAUUAUUUGGUUCCCAAACUUUGUAUCUACGGUAACUUCUUGUGCACAGGAAUAAGCCUAGAGAAAAUUAGGUUUUUAAUACUUUAUUAUUGCUUUGAUAUUGGUUUAUGUAAUUCGGGUAAAUUUAUUUUGUAACAUUACUUGCUUGUUUCCCAAAUAUUGUAUUUAUUCGCUUUAUUUCGUUUGUUCGGUUACUUCGUCGUUACUUUAUUUCAUUGCAUUUGCUCGGUUAAUUUAGGUCAUUUUGUCGGUAUUUUUCUUAACUUCACUUCUAUAACGUUUAUUCAUUUGUAUAUUUAAUUUUGCUUUAUUCAGUAUUGUAUUUUCUCUUAGUGAGGCUUGGGCCUAUUUAUUUGUAUUAUUUUCAUCUUCGUCGGUUUCCUUUAGUUGUACGUAGCAGGCGUACUAUAACCAUUUGGUAGAAAACUUAUGUAAUUUUGUACCCUAUAUGUUAGUAAGAGGUACUUAUAUUUAAGUUGUAACAGAUAACAUUAUUGUUGUUAUCUUUAAAAUAUAUAUAUCUUCUUGUAUAACUUAUGUCAUUUUAGAGUCACAGCAUAAUAUGAACUUGCUUAACUCAGAGAUUGUUAAAAAUCUGGUAGUUAUUUUUAAUAAAUAUGUUUAUUUAUUUUGUA